RNAcentral lists this long non-coding RNA (2542 nucleotides) under Sus scrofa (pig). Its description in RNAcentral is "lncRNA (ENSSSCG00050053994.1)". The record is from RNAcentral. Lineage: Eukaryota; Metazoa; Chordata; Mammalia; Artiodactyla; Suidae.
UAUUAUAUACUACAUAAUGAUUUAAUAUUUUUAUAGAUUAUACUCCAUUUAAAGGUUUUAUAAAAUAUUGGCUAUAUUCCCUGAGCUGCACAAUAUAUAUACUUGUUACUUAUUUAAUACAUAGUAGUUUGUACCUCUAAAUCCCCUAUCCUAUCUUGCCCGUCCCUCCCCCCCGCCACUAGUAACCACUAGUUUGUUCUCUUUGUGAGUCUGCUUCUGUUUUUUUAUACUAAUUCAUUGGCUUUACUUUUCAGAUUCUACAUAUAAAUGAUAACAAAGUAUUUGUCUUUCUCCCUUCUGGCUUAUUUCAGUAAGCAUAACACCCUCUAGGUACAUCCAUGUUGUUGCAAAUAGGAGAAUUUCUUUUUUUGUGGCUGAGUAAUAUUCCAUUGUGCAAAUAUAUCACAUCUUUUUUAUCCAUUCAUCUAUUGAUGGAUACUUAGGUUGCUUCCAUAUCUUGGACAUUGUAAAUAAUCCUGCUAUGAACACUGGGGUUCAAAUAUCUUUCUGAAUUAGUUUUCUCAUUUUCUUAUACCCAUGAGUGAAAAUACUGUAUCAUAUGGUAGUUCUAUUGUUUUUUUGAGGAACUUCCAUAUUAUUUUUCAUAUUGGCUGCACCAAUUUACAUUCCCACCAACAGAGUUCCCUUUCCUACACAUCCUUGCCAAAAUUUGUUAUCAGUUGUCUUUUUGACAAUAGCCAUUCUGACAGGUGUAAGGUGUACCACAUUGUGAUUUUUAUUUGCAUUUGCCUCAUGAUUAAUGAUGUUGAGCAUCCUUUCAUAUGCCUGUUGGUCAUCUGUAUAUCUUCUUUAGAAAAAUGUUUAUUCAUGUCUUCCACACAUUUUUAAUCAGGUUGUUUUAAUCUGGAUUUUAAUAGGGUUGUUUUAAUCAGGUUUUUUUAUAUUGAGUUGUAUGAGCUGUUUAUAUAUAUUUUGGAUAUUAACCUGUUGUCAGCUACAUCAUUUCCAAAUAUUUUCUCCAAUUUAAGUUCUUUUUUCCCUCUGUUAAUGCUUUCCUCCACUAUACAAGUUUAAUUUGGUCCCAUUUGUUUAUCUUUCCUUUUGUUUCCCUUGCUUGAGGAGAUAGAUAAAAAAAAUAUAGAUAUAUUGCUAAGAUUUAACAUUUAAGAAUGUACUGCGUAUGUUUCCUUCUAGGAGUUUUAUGUUUUCCAGUCUAACAUUUAGGUCUUUACAUUCCAGUCUUACAUUUAGGUCCUUAAUCCAUUUUUAGUUUAUUUUUGUAUACAGUGUGAAAAGAAAUGUUCUAUUUCCUUCUUUUACAUGGAGCUCUCCAGUUUCGCCAGCACCACCUAUUGAAGAAACUAUCCUUUCCCCAUUGUAUAUUUUCACCUACUUCAUUGUAGAUUAAAGUACAAAACCAGACAGCUUUACACCAAGCAUAUAAAGAAAACUUAAGACCUCUCUUUCUCAAAUUAUUCCAAAAUACUGAAGAGGAGGAAUCACUCCUAAAUUCACUCCAGGAGGCCACCACUAUCCUGAUACCAAAACCAGAAAAAGACAUUACAAAAAAGAAAAUUCAAGCCAGUAUCUCUGAUGAAUAUAGAUGUUAAAAUCCUCAACAAAAUAUUAGUAAACCAAAUUCAACAAUAUAUGAAAAGGAUCAUACAUCAUGAUCAAGUGGUACUUAUUCCAGAGAUGCAAGGAUGAUUCAAUAUCCACAAAUCAACCAAUGCGAUAUACAACAUUAACAAGACAAAGGAUAACAAGAACACAGUUAUGUCAAUAGAUACCAAAAAAGCAUCUAACAAAGUUUAACAUCCAUUCAUGGUAAAAACUCUCAACAGAGUUGAUAUAGAGGAAACAUGUCUCAACAAAAAAAAGCCAUUUAUGAAAACUCCACAGCUAACAUCACAUUCAUUGGUGAAAAGCUGAAAGAGCCUCUAAAAUCCAAAAUAAGACUAACAAGCCCACUCUUGCCACUUCUAUUUAACAUAGUAUUGGAAGUCCUAGCCACAACAAAUAAUAGAAGAAAUAAAAGGCAUCCAAAUUGGAAGGGAAAAAGUAAAACUGUUGCUAUAUGCAGAUGACAUGAUACAGAAAACCCUAAAAUUCCCAUCAAAAAAAAAUUAGAACUAAUAAUUGAAGUUAAUUUGCAGGAUAAGAGAUUAAUAUUCAGGAAUCUCUUGCUAUUACAUAAACUAAUAAUAAACUAUCAGAAAAAGAAAGCAAGAAAAUGAACCUGUUUAAAAUUGCAUUGGAGUUCUCACUGAGGCUCAGUGGGUAACAAAUCUGGCUAGGAAACAAGAGGUUGCAGGUUCAAUCCCUAUCCUCCCUCAGUAGGUUAAGGAUCCAUCAUUGCCAUGAGUUGUGGGGUAGGUUGCAGACACUGCUAGGAUCCUGCAUUGCUAUACCUGUGGUGUAGGCAGACUCCUCCCAUCAGGAAGCCUACAGCAAGCCCGCAUACCAACUUCAGCCACAAGGGGGGCAGACAUCAGAAGUAAGAGAGGGUACAACUCUAUUAUCUGUAAAAAGGUCACCACGCCAAAAACCUAUAAAAAUGAAAAGACAGAGAACUAUAACU